RNAcentral lists this ribosomal RNA (1103 nucleotides) under Alternaria tenuissima. RNAcentral's name for it is "SSU rRNA". It matches the Rfam family "Eukaryotic small subunit ribosomal RNA", at positions 56 to 1170 of the family's 1831-position model. The record is from RNAcentral. Lineage: Eukaryota; Fungi; Ascomycota; Dothideomycetes; Pleosporales; Pleosporaceae.
UGUCUAGUAUAAGCAAUUAUACCGUGAAACUGCGAAUGGCUCAUUAAAUCAGUUAUCGUUUAUUUGAUAAUACCUUACUACUUGGAUAACCGUGGUAAUUCUAGAGCUAAUACAUGCUGAAAAUCCCGACUUCGGAAGGGAUGUGUUUAUUAGAUAAAAAACCAAUGCCCUUCGGGGCUUUUUGGUGAUUCAUGAUAACUUUACGGAUCGCAUAGCCUUGCGCUGGCGACGGUUCAUUCAAAUUUCUGCCCUAUCAACUUUCGAUGGUAAGGUAUUGGCUUACCAUGGUUUCAACGGGUAACGGGGAAUUAGGGUUCGAUUCCGGAGAGGGAGCCUGAGAAACGGCUACCACAUCCAAGGAAGGCAGCAGGCGCGCAAAUUACCCAAUCCCGACACGGGGAGGUAGUGACAAUAAAUACUGAUACAGGGCUCUUUUGGGUCUUGUAAUUGGAAUGAGUACAAUUUAAACCUCUUAACGAGGAACAAUUGGAGGGCAAGUCUGGUGCCAGCAGCCGCGGUAAUUCCAGCUCCAAUAGCGUAUAUUAAAGUUGUUGCAGUUAAAAAGCUCGUAGUUGAAACUUGGGCCUGGCUGGCGGGUCCGCCUCACCGCGUGCACUCGUCCGGCCGGGCCUUCCUUCUGAAGAACCUCAUGCCCUUCACUGGGCGUGCUGGGGAAUCAGGACUUUUACUUUGAAAAAAUUAGAGUGUUCAAAGCAGGCCUUUGCUCGAAUACGUUAGCAUGGAAUAAUAAAAUAGGGCGUGCGUUUCUAUUUUGUUGGUUUCUAGAGACGCCGCAAUGAUUAACAGGAACAGUCGGGGGCAUCAGUAUUCAGUUGUCAGAGGUGAAAUUCUUGGAUUUACUGAAGACUAACUACUGCGAAAGCAUUUGCCAAGGAUGUUUUCAUUAAUCAGUGAACGAAAGUUAGGGGAUCGAAGACGAUCAGAUACCGUCGUAGUCUUAACCGUAAACUAUGCCGACUAGGGAUCGGGCGAUGUUCUUUUUCUGACUCGCUCGGCACCUUACGAGAAAUCAAAGUUUUUGGGUUCUGGGGGGAUUAUGGUCGCAAGGGUUGAAACUUAAAGGAAUUGACGGAAGGGACCUU